GACGAACGCUGGCGGCGUGCUUAACACAUGCAAGUCGAACGGAAAGGCCCUGCUUGCAGGGUACUCGAGUGGCGAACGGGUGAGUAACACGUGGGUGAUCUGCCCUGCACUUCGGGAUAAGCCUGGGAAACUGGGUCUAAUACCGGAUAGGAGCCAUUUUUAGUGUGAUGGUUGGAAAGUUUUUUCGGUGUAGGAUGAGCUCGCGGCCUAUCAGCUUGUUGGUGGGGUAAUGGCCUACCAAGGCGGCGACGGGUAGCCGGCCUGAGAGGGUGGACGGCCACACUGGGACUGAGAUACGGCCCAGACUCCUACUGGAGGCAGCAGUGGGGAAUAUUGCACAAUGGGCGCAAGCCGGAUGCAGCGACGCCGCGUGCGGGAUGACGGCCUUCGGGUUGGAAACUCCUUUCGCUAGGGACGAAGCUUUUUGUGACGGUACCUAGAUAAGAAGCACCGGCUAACUACGUG
This 465-nucleotide ribosomal RNA is filed under the name uncultured bacterium. Its description in RNAcentral is "partial 16S ribosomal RNA". It matches the Rfam family "Bacterial small subunit ribosomal RNA", at positions 28 to 507 of the family's 1533-position model. The record is from RNAcentral.